GGGUUCUGAGAGGAAGGUCCCCCACAUUGGAACUGAGACACGGUCCAAACUCCUACGGGAGGCAGCAGUGAGGAAUAUUGGUCAAUGGACGAGAGUCUGAACCAGCCAAGUAGCGUGCAGGAAGACGGCCCUAUGGGUUGUAAACUGCUUUUAUAAGGGAAUAAAGUGAGAGUCGUGACUCUUUUUGCAUGUACCUUAUGAAUAAGGACCGGCUAAUUCCGUGCCAGCAGCCGCGGUAAUACGGAAGGUCCGGGCGUUAUCCGGAUUUAUUGGGUUUAAAGGGAGCGUAGGCCGGAGAUUAAGCGUGUUGUGAAAUGUAGACGCUCAACGUCUGCACUGCAGCGCGAACUGGUUUCCUUGAGUACGCACAAAGUGGGCGGAAUUCGUGGUGUAGCGGUGAAAUGCUUAGAUAUCACGAAGAACUCCGAUUGCGAAGGCAGCUCACUGGAGCGCAACUGACGCUGAAGCUCGAAAGUGCGGGUAUCGAACAGGAUUAGAUACCCUGGUAGUCCGCACGGUAAACGAUGGAUGCCCGCUGUUGGUCUGAAUAGGUCAGCGGCCAAGCGAAAGCAUUAAGCAUCCCACCUGGGGAGUACGCCGGCAACGGUGAAACUCAAAGGAAUUGACGGGGGCCCGCACAAGCGGAGGAACAUGUGGUUUAAUUCGAUGAUACGCGAGGAACCUUACCCGGGCUUGAAUUGCAGAGGAAGGAUUUGGAGACAAUGACGCCCUUCGGGGCCUCUGUGAAGGUGCUGCAUGGUUGUCGUCAGCUCGUGCCGUGAGGUGUCGGCUUAAGUGCCAUAACGAGCGCAACCCCUCUCCUUAGUUGCCAUCAGGUUAAGCUGGGCACUCUGGGGACACUGCCACCGUAAGGUGUGAGGAAGGUGGGGAUGACGUCAAAUCAGCACGGCCCUUACGUCCGGGGCUACACACGUGUUACAAUGGCAGGUACAGAGAGACGGUUGUACGUAAGUACGAUCAAAUCCUUAAAGCCUGUCUCAGUUCGGACUGGGGUCUGCAACCCGACCCCACGAAGCUGGAUUCGCUAGUAAUCGCGCAUCAGCCAUGGCGCGGUGAAUACGUUCCCGGGCCUUGUACACACCGCCCGUCAAGCCAUGAAAGCCGGGGGCGCCUAAAGUCCGUGACCGUAAGGAGCGGCCUAGGGCGAAACUGGUAAUUGGGGCUAAGUCGAAACAAGGUA
This 1201-nucleotide ribosomal RNA is filed under the name metagenome. Its description in RNAcentral is "bacterial SSU rRNA". It matches the Rfam family "Bacterial small subunit ribosomal RNA", at positions 287 to 1498 of the family's 1533-position model. The record is from RNAcentral.